RNAcentral lists this long non-coding RNA (261 nucleotides) under Lathyrus oleraceus (garden pea). RNAcentral's name for it is "Pisum sativum (pea) long non-coding RNA (PSAT_LNC040032)". Lineage: Eukaryota; Viridiplantae; Streptophyta; Magnoliopsida; Fabales; Fabaceae. The record is from RNAcentral.
CCAUGAAAUUAGAUUGAAUUAUGUGAAUGAUAAAAAAAUUGUUGUUAAACCUAUAAAAUUUGAUUGAAUUAUGUGAAUGAUGAAGAUUUUGUUGUUAAACCCAUAAAAUUUGAUUGAAUUAUGUGAAUGAUGAAGAUUUUAUCGUUAAAACCAUAAAAUUUGAUUGAAUUCUGGGGAUGAUGAAAAUGUUUAUGUUAAACCCAUGAAAUUUGAUUGAAUUGUGUGAAUGAUGAGAAUGUUGUUGUUAAACCCAUGAAAUUU